UCUGGAGAUUGCUCCCUUUGGAGUUUUUCUAUGAGCCGAAGACAAUGGAGAUAGCAGCAAAUGGUCGUACUCAGUUGAUAACUUCCUCUCAGGUGCGGUACUGCCCUGAUGUCUUCACAGAGAGGUGAAAAUGUUUGAUGCAAGGGUAGAUGUUGAAUGUGCCCCAUUCGUGAGGUAGCUGAAGAAGAAAGAACCUGACUGCAGGCACGAUUACAUUCCAUUGAAUGCUAUCAAGGUUCUGAUACAAUGUCAGCAAAGGCCAAUGUAAGAGCAACGUGAUGGAAGGCACGGAGCAAUACCCCCUGUAUAAAGAUAUAGGAUGCCAGAGUCCCACAUGUGGCUUGGCUGCAUACAGGCUAUGUAUGACUUGGCUGCUCAUCUGUCCAUGUGCAAUCCAUGGAUCUGUGCCCCUUGUUAUGGCCUUGGGAGAGGCACUGGUGUGGACCAGAGGGAGAGCCUGCUGCCUUUUGCCACCUAUAUGCACUCUCCUGUUCAAGUGCAUUUCAGUCUUGUCAUGAAGGAACUUGUAGUGUCUUGGUUUUCUGCAAUUGCAGAGAGAUUUCUAGCCCUCAGAACUGUAGUUCCAGCACUGUGGAGCAGUUCUAACAGGAAGAGCAGAUAUAACAGGAAAAGUGAAAGAGCAGAUCUAACCCCAGGAACUCUUGUGAACCAAUUAACUGAGUACAUAUGUAUUGACUGAAUGAAAUUAACUGAGUAAUAGUAGAGAGGAUGAGUUGUAGAGAGCUUGAGCUAGCAAUGUAGACCAUGAGGAAUCAUGUUAAUUUAUUUACAGUAAAUUUACUAUGAUGUAUUGGUCUCCACUAAACUUCAGAUUCUUUUGUCUGUUGUAUUUUUUCAAAAUAUAAUUUGAAUUGACUUUUU
Gallus gallus (chicken) is the source of this 882-nucleotide long non-coding RNA. Lineage: Eukaryota; Metazoa; Chordata; Aves; Galliformes; Phasianidae. The record is from Ensembl.